AGUGAUAACGGUGAUGAAAAGCUUUAAUCCCAGUCCAUUAUAAGACAUUCUCCUUACAAACUCAAGGAAAAUACUCACAUUUUUCUGAGCUUUACU
This 96-nucleotide small nucleolar RNA is filed under the name Olea europaea subsp. europaea. The record is from RNAcentral. Lineage: Eukaryota; Viridiplantae; Streptophyta; Magnoliopsida; Lamiales; Oleaceae.